UACGUAGGGUGCAAGCGUUGUCCGGAAUUAUUGGGCGUAAAGAGCUCGUAGGCGGUGUGUCGCGUCGGCCGUGAAAACCUGCGGCUUAACUGUGGGCUUGCGGUCGAUACGGGCAUCACUGGAGUUCGGCAGGGGAGACUGGAAUUCCUGGUGUAGCGGUGAAAUGCGCAGAUAUCAGGAGGAACACCGGUGGCGAAGGCGGGUCUCUGGGCCGAUACUGACGCUGAGGAGCGAAAGCGUGGGGAGCGAACAGG
This 254-nucleotide ribosomal RNA is filed under the name uncultured bacterium. RNAcentral's name for it is "partial 16S ribosomal RNA". It matches the Rfam family "Bacterial small subunit ribosomal RNA", at positions 524 to 776 of the family's 1533-position model. The record is from RNAcentral.